Molecule: long non-coding RNA, 687 nt
Organism: Alexandromys fortis (reed vole)
Lineage: Eukaryota; Metazoa; Chordata; Mammalia; Rodentia; Cricetidae
Exons: 3
Source: RefSeq, a predicted model, not a curated record
GUCAUGUGUCAACUUGACUGGCCGAGGAGGAGCGAGGAUUGCUCAUAGGCACAGUUGGUACGUUGGUGCUGGCAGUCAGCUCUGUGUGAUCCCUUAUCGUUCAGUGGAUCAAAAGGAAGCUCUUUGCUACUGCUCCAGACCCAUGCCUGCCUGUGGACAUGCUCGGUGCCAUGAUGGUGCCUGCCUGUGGAUAUGCUCGGUGCCGUGAUGACAUCUGCCUGUCUGUGGACGUGCUCGGUACCGUGAUGCCUGCCUGUCUGUGGACAUGCUCGGUACCAUGAUAACGCCUGUCUGAACUUAAUGCUCUGAAACUUUAAGCGGACUCCCAGUGAUUUGGGGAGGAAGAAAGCAUCUGCUCCAGCACAUCCCCAUCCUGACUCCCUGAGGAUGCCUGGCUCAGUCGUCUGCAGAUGCAGGCCGCGGAUAUAGAAGGUACUGGACCAACCUGGCAAGUCCAGCUCCUUACGUCACCAUGUGUUCCUCACCCUCAGCUUGAAGUUCCCUCACAGGGGCACUGAUGCCACUUAAGCAGGACUGGAAAAAUGGUCAGGUGGCCUUUUCUACCCUCCCGGGCAGCAUACUUUCUGUUAACACUUUCAAAGGAAACUCUAGAGUUGCUUUGGAGGAAAUGUCAAGUUGGAAAUGGUGGGAGAAAUCCAGAUGCCCCCUUUCCAGUUACCAUGAUAA